This is a long non-coding RNA of Rosa chinensis, 996 nucleotides long. RefSeq lists it as uncharacterized. The transcript is spliced from 3 exons. Lineage: Eukaryota; Viridiplantae; Streptophyta; Magnoliopsida; Rosales; Rosaceae. The record is from RefSeq and is a predicted model, not a curated record.
AACUCGGGUCCGUUCUCAAAUUCCCAAUUUCUUCUCUUCCUCUCUCUCUCUCUCUCUCUCUCUCUCUCUCUCUCUCUCUCGCUCAGAUAAUUCACUCGAUUUGCAUGUCAAGCAUAUCUCUUGCAUAAACUUCUCUAGAAAUCAGGUGGGUUUUCAAUUCAAUUGCAGCAAUUUCCAAGGAAAUAGUCCAUCAAUCCAGAGCAAUCCCACCGCCAUUGAUUGGAAGAGAUGUUGUCGGAGCUGCAUGGAUAGAGUCCUGGAAGACUCUUGCUUUUCUAUUUCAAGCUAUCUAGUUAUAUAAACAUGCAUAGCCUAUGUUUGUGCCCUACCCUCUUAUUUGUUCCUAAAGUGUAUAUCUUCUCUCUUUGUUUUUGUUGAUAUGAUGUUGGGCUAUGCAAAUUGAAGUUCAAAAACAAUAGCUAUAAUCUCUUUCUUACUGAUUGAAUAGAAAAUUGAAGUUCACAUACUUGCAUUUUGGUUUAGUCUAAUCUGCGUGUUUGCUUGUAUACAGAUUGAAACUUUCACAUAAGGGUUUUUGUACUGGUGCAGCUGCUAAAGUUUCCAGCUCCAAUGAUCAUGUGGGGCAGCAUAAAUCUUCAAAUAAAAGCUAACCUUAUGACAUUGCUAUUGUUGGAUGUGGCCCUUGCUUGUUCCUUGGAUAGGUUGUCUUUUGUCAGGUGAGACUUCGGCAAAUCCUUUUCAUGCGUGCUCAAGAGGAUGGAGAAGCCAGGCCAAAGACCUUAGCUCAGUGAUCAAGCAUGCACAUGUCGGUGAUGAAGGCAGGGACACCCCUUACCAUUGAUGUUGUCACUAUCAGUUUUCCUAUUUGUUGUAUCAAUACAAUUCAUGUUUCUUUAUUGUGCAAUUUUAGUCUCUUGCUGGCCUCAAAAUGGCUAUUAAUGCUCAUUAUCAAAUGUUACUCUGUAGUUGAGAUUGGAAAGUAAUUGGUGUUCUGAACUGGUGUAUGUAUUUUAAAAACUUAUGAGAAUGUAUAUG